UAGUUGGGGGUGUUUAUAGCUCCGUAUCAUCGAAUGAAAUAUGUAAAAAUAGUCUAUUCAAGAAUUAAAGUAGUAUAUUAAAAUAUGUCUCUCUGAAAAGAUUUAGGCUUGAGACAUAUCAAUAAUAAUAAUUUUACAGUUUUAUUUAAUUUAGUUUUAAAGUUAUUAAUAACAUUUUAUUUUUCUUGAUUGUAGGAUGCUAAAAUUUUCGGCUCUCAUCCACCUGCUAUUAUAGAGGACGCACUGGAGCAGGAGCAAGAGCAAGAGG
Molecule: long non-coding RNA, 268 nt
Filed under: Elaeis guineensis (African oil palm)
Lineage: Eukaryota; Viridiplantae; Streptophyta; Magnoliopsida; Arecales; Arecaceae
Description: long non-coding RNA (EGUI_LNC005747)
Source: RNAcentral